AUGAACGCUAGCGACAGGCUUAACACAUGCAAGUCGAGGGGUAACAGGGUAGCAAUACCGCUGACGACCGGCGCACGGGUGAGUAACGCGUAUGCAACCUGCCUAUAACUGGGGAAUAGCUCCCUGAAAGGGGAAUUAACACCGCAUAACACUAUUGAUUCGCAUGGAUUUGUAGUUAAAUGUAGCGAUACAGGUUAUAGAUGGGCAUGCGUGACAUUAGCUAGUUGGUGAGGUAACGGCUCACCAAGGCUACGAUGUCUAGGGGUUCUGAGAGGAAGGUCCCCCCACACUGGUACUGAGACACGGACCAGACUCCUACGGGAGGCAGCAGUGAGGAAUAUUGGUCAAUGGGCGCAAGCCUGAACCAGCCAUGUCGCGUGCAGGAAGAACCUGCCCUAUGGGUUGUAAACUGCUUUUAUAGUAGAAGAAACACAUCUACGUGUAGAUGUCUGCCAGUAUACUAUGAAUAAGCAUCGGCUAACUCCGUGCCAGCCGCCGC
This 499-nucleotide ribosomal RNA is filed under the name uncultured bacterium. Its description in RNAcentral is "bacterial SSU rRNA". It matches the Rfam family "Bacterial small subunit ribosomal RNA", at positions 29 to 518 of the family's 1533-position model. The record is from RNAcentral.